This 453-nucleotide ribosomal RNA is filed under the name uncultured Acidobacteriaceae bacterium. RNAcentral's name for it is "bacterial SSU rRNA". It matches the Rfam family "Bacterial small subunit ribosomal RNA", at positions 8 to 491 of the family's 1533-position model. The record is from RNAcentral. Lineage: Bacteria; Pseudomonadati; Acidobacteriota; Terriglobia; Terriglobales; Acidobacteriaceae.
AGAGUUUGAUCCUGGCUCAGAAUCAACGCUGGCGGCGCGCUUAACACAUGCAAGUCGCACGAGAAAGCAGGAGCAAUCUUGUGAGUAAAGUGGCGUACGGGUGAGUAACACGUGGAUCAUCUACCUUCUGGUGGGGAAUACCUCCGGGAAACUGGAGACAAUACCGCAUAAGCUCGAAAGAGGAAAGCAGCAAUGCGCCGGAAGAGGAGUCCGCGGCCGAUUAGCUAGUUGGCGGGGUAACGGCCCACCAAGGCGAAGAUCGGUAGCCGGCCUGAGAGGGCUCACGGCCACACUGGCACUGAAACACGGGCCAGACUCCUACGGGAGGCAGCAGUGGGGAAUCUUGCACAAUGGAGGAAACUCUGAUGCAGCGACGCCGCGUGAGCGAUGAAGCCCCUCGGGGUGUAAAGCUCUUUCGACGGGAAAGAUAAUGACGGUACCCGAAGAAGAAAG